AAAGCAGGGGACCUUCGGGCCUUGCGCGAUUGGAUGAGCCGAUGUCGGAUUAGCUAGUUGGUGAGGUAAAGGCUCACCAAGGCGACGAUCCGUAGCUGGUCUGAGAGGAUGAUCAGCCACACUGGAACUGAGACACGGUCCAGACUCCUACGGGAGGCAGCAGUGGGGAAUAUUGGACAAUGGGCGCAAGCCUGAUCCAGCCAUGCCGCGUGUGUGAAGAAGGCCUUCGGGUUGUAAAGCACUUUUGUACGGGAAGAAACCUUCCGGGCUAAUACCCCGGGAGACUGACGGUAC
Molecule: ribosomal RNA, 294 nt
Filed under: uncultured bacterium
Lineage: Bacteria
Description: partial 16S ribosomal RNA
Rfam family: Bacterial small subunit ribosomal RNA
Source: RNAcentral